UACAGAGGGUGCGAGCGUUGUCCGGAAUCACUGGGCGUAAAGGGCGCGUAGGUGGCGACCCAAGUCCGUGGUGAAAGCUCGUCGCUUAACGACGAGUCGGCCACGGAGACUGGGUGGCUCGAGCACUGUAGGGGCAGAUGGAAUUCCGGGUGUAGCGGUGGAAUGCGUAGAGAUCCGGAGGAACACCAGUGGCGAAGGCGACACGCUGGGCCGUACCUGACACUGAUACGCGACAGCAUGGGGAGCGAACGGG
Molecule: ribosomal RNA, 253 nt
Filed under: uncultured bacterium
Lineage: Bacteria
Description: partial 16S ribosomal RNA
Rfam family: Bacterial small subunit ribosomal RNA
Source: RNAcentral